ACGUUCGACACCUACGGGAGGCAGCAGUGGGGAAUAUUGCACAAUGGGGGAAACCCUGAUGCAGCGAUGCCGCGUGAAGGAAGAAGUAUCUCGGUAUGUAAACUUCUAUCAGCAGGGAAGAAAAUGACGGUACCUGACUAAGAAGCCCCGGCUAACUACGUGUCAGCAGCCGCGGUAAUCUGAGCGGCUGGCAAGGC
This 197-nucleotide ribosomal RNA is filed under the name uncultured bacterium. Its description in RNAcentral is "partial 16S ribosomal RNA". It matches the Rfam family "Bacterial small subunit ribosomal RNA", at positions 328 to 539 of the family's 1533-position model. The record is from RNAcentral.